RNAcentral lists this ribosomal RNA (484 nucleotides) under uncultured bacterium. RNAcentral describes it as "partial 16S ribosomal RNA". It matches the Rfam family "Bacterial small subunit ribosomal RNA", at positions 30 to 507 of the family's 1533-position model. The record is from RNAcentral.
AUUGAACGCUGGCGGCAGGCCUAACACAUGCAAGUCGAGCGGAUGAAGGGAGCUUGCUCCUGGAUUCAGCGGCGGACGGGUGAGUAAUGCCUAGGAAUCUGCCUGGUAGUGGGGGAUAACGUCCGGAAACGGGCGCUAAUACCGCAUACGUCCUGAGGGAGAAAGUGGGGGAUCUUCGGACCUCACGCUAUCGGAUGGGCCUAGGUCGGAUUAGCUAGUUGGUGGGGUAAAGGCCUACCAAGGCGACGAUCCGUAACUGGUCUGAGAGGAUGAUCAGUCACACUGGAACUGAGACACGGUCCAGACUCCUACGGGAGGCAGCAGUGGGGAAUAUUGGACAAUGGGCGAAAGCCUGAUCCAGCCAUGCCGCGUGUGUGAAGAAGGUCUUCGGAUUGUAAAGCACUUUAAGUUGGGAGGAAGGGCAGUAAGUUAAUACCUUGCUGUUUUGACGUUACCAACAGAAUAAGCACCGGCUAACUUCGUG